AGGCUCUGGGUACUGACAUGCUGCUCUGAGC
This 31-nucleotide non-coding RNA is filed under the name Homo sapiens (human). The record is from RNAcentral. Lineage: Eukaryota; Metazoa; Chordata; Mammalia; Primates; Hominidae.